RNAcentral lists this long non-coding RNA (1501 nucleotides) under Triticum aestivum (bread wheat). RNAcentral's name for it is "long non-coding RNA (TAES_LNC015732)". Lineage: Eukaryota; Viridiplantae; Streptophyta; Magnoliopsida; Poales; Poaceae. The record is from RNAcentral.
UCAACUCCAAUCUGCAGAAAACCGGAUCUGCCAAGGGCAAGGCCCUCGUCCACGGAUCUGGAGGGGAAAAAUCAUUUUCUUCGUUGUUUCGGUCGGUGAGGCUGUAUCACACGUCAAUUACUUGCGCUUUUCUCCUAGCUAUUGUUCAUCAGUUUCAGAUUUGAACUUUUUUGGUGAUUUUUAUUUUGUUCCAUCUAUUCCAUUGGUACGGGUGAUCUAGCAGUAUGGCUCGAUCGAGAUGCAUAUCACUUUUCUUGUUGACUCCAAAAUAGAAUGCUCUCCUUUAUUUUCUUGUAAUCCCCUUCCAUCUAUUCCUUCUGUACAGAUGCGGUUUUCUUUUGUUUACUUGUAAUCCCCUUUGUCCGGAUUGGAUAGGUCUCUCCUCAUCUUGUUGUUGCACAGAUCCGAAUUUGCCAUGAUGUAUUUUUAGACAAUAUAGAGAUUUUUUUUAUUCAUAACCAUGCUUAUGUGCCAGACCGGCUUAAUUUUUGUGAUUUCUUAGAUUCCUCUAACUUGGAUAAUCGAUGGUUAAUCGUACUGGAACUUAAUAGUGGAUUUGAUGUUCUGUUCUUGAUGUGCUAAUCCAAGGUUGAUAAUUAUUUCAUUCAAGUGGGGUAAAGUUUGAAUUCCUACCACCGAUUGCAAAGAUCUUCUGUUCCAUCGAUUUCAGUUUGUUUUGUUGACCUCUUUCCCACUACAGUCACAGAACUGAGCAACGUUGAUGGUCAAGUGUGCCGUGGCGGCAAGGCCACAUUCCUUGCCGGAAACGCUGGUUCGGGAGCUACAAGUGGCUGGACAAGAAGGUAUUUCAGAUUAAAAUGUUCUGCUCCAAAAAACCUUUAAUUCAGAACAUAGUAUGUGUCGGCCUUGUUCUUUGUUAGAUUUUGAAUACAACCACAUUUCACUCCCGAAAUCAGUAUCAUAUAAAAUCAAAUUCCAUGGCUUCUGUGCCACUUGUGCAAGAAACAUUCUAUGGGUUAGAUAUUUGGAAAUAAUAUGAUGAUGCAUGGAUGGGUUUUCUUUAUUCACAAAAUGAAUUUUACAUGUCUAAAUGCAUUGAUUGAUUGGCAUGUUCUUUGUUCACUGCACAACUUACUUCGGAGCAUCCUCUAAUGAAGCGAUUUUUUGUUCUGUUCUUGAUCAGAACCAUGCUGAUAUGGUCUGUAUCCUGAACCCUGAAGUAGAAGGCGUUUAAUCCGAUGCAUUUUCCUACUGUUGUGAUCUUGUAAUAUUGCCUUCUGGCCAAAUCAGCAAAAUCCCUGGUUGAAGCUGCGCAAGCUCUGUUUCUUUGGCUGUUGUUCCCUCUCAGCAAUCCAUUCGACUCGGGUAUAUGUUUGUAAUUAUUGUAAUGGAUUUGUACCAUUUAUGAACCAUGUCAAAUUGUUAAGGUGGGUGAUGGGUAUUACAACUAUGCAUCAGUACAUAAACAUGGGUAUUACAACUAAUACACUCAUUCGACGCUGUAGCAUGUCAGAUUCUCAGUACACAUUAUUUUUUUGCG